CAGUUCGGAUCGAAGUCUGCAACCCGACUUCGUGAAGCUGGAUUCGCUAGUAAUCGCGCAUCAGCCAUGGCGCGGUGAAUACGUUCCCGGGCCUUGUACACACCGCCCGUCAACGCCAUAGAAAGGCCGGGGUACCUGAAGUACGUAACCGCAAGGAUCGUCCUAGGGUAAAACUGGUAAUUGGGGCUAAGUCGUAACAAGGUAGC
Molecule: ribosomal RNA, 206 nt
Filed under: uncultured bacterium
Lineage: Bacteria
Description: partial 16S ribosomal RNA
Rfam family: Bacterial small subunit ribosomal RNA
Source: RNAcentral